Molecule: ribosomal RNA, 1218 nt
Filed under: Triticum aestivum (bread wheat)
Lineage: Eukaryota; Viridiplantae; Streptophyta; Magnoliopsida; Poales; Poaceae
Description: partial small subunit ribosomal RNA
Source: RNAcentral
AUGGCGAGCGGGCGGUUCAUGGAGGAGAUGAUGAGGGAGCACGAGCAGAGCCUGCUAGAGGCGACGUGCGGCGGCCUGUUCGACCACAUCGAGGACCUGCUCGACUUCCCCAAGGAGGACUCGGCGGAGGACGUGCUGCUCCUCGACGCGCCGGUGCCUGACAGCCCCCUCGCCGCGCGCGUCCUCGCCGGCGGCGCGCCCCCGCCGGCGCCGGCCUCGCUGGAGCAGCAGCAGCAGCAGGCGUCGCUCAUGGUGCCCCCGCCCCCGCCCGCCGGGGACCACUCCGCGGCCUUCCUCGGCGCCCUCGGAGACACCCACAUUGGCACGUGCGACGAGCUGGACAUGGACAUGGCGCAGCUCGAGUGGCUGUCGGGGCUGUUCGACGACACCUCCAUCCCGCACGAGCCGGCCUUCGCCUGCGCCGCGCCCAUCAUCAGGGCCUCCGCGCUGAGUGCCAACGCCGGCGUCGUGCUGCCCGACAAGAUGGAGGACGCGCUCUUCCGCAGCUCCAGCCCCACCUCCGUGCUCGAGGACGGCGCGAACAAUGUCAACGUGAACAUGAACAACAACAACAGCGGGGGCUCCUCGGCGUCGUCGACGUCGUCGUCGGCAUCGUCCUCCUCGGAGUCAUUCUCCGGGAGCGGCCGCCCGUGGUCUGUGCCGCUGUCGCCGCGCCCGGAGCCGCCGGUGCUCGUCAUCCCGGCGCGCGCGCGCAGCAAGCGGUCCCGCGCCUCAGCGUUCCCCGCUGCCAUCCGCGCCGCUGUGCCCGCGCCCGAGACCAUCCUCGUGCCGACGCCCAUGUUCUCCUCCACCUCCUCCUACUCGGAGGAGCCCGAGUGCAUUGCCGAGUCCAACUCGCAGCCCAAGAAGAAGAAGAAGGCCAAGAGGCCGACCCCUCCGGUCACCUCUGAUGCUGAGGGCGACGCCGACUACGAGGAAGGCAGCGGCCUCGCGCCCGGCGAGGUGCGGAGGUGUAUGCAUUGCCAGAUCGACAAGACGCCGCAGUGGCGCGCUGGGCCGCUGGGGCCCAAGACGCUCUGCAACGCAUGCGGCGUCCGCUACAAGUCCGGCCGCCUCUUCCCGGAGUACCGCCCGGCGGCCAGCCCCACCUUCGUGCCAGCCAUCCACUCCAACUCCCACAAGAAGGUGGUGGAGAUGCGCCAGAAGGUUGAGCCCAAGGGCGACGACCUGCUGCAGUUCAUCCGCCGCCGGGAUUGA